This 401-nucleotide ribosomal RNA is filed under the name uncultured bacterium. RNAcentral's name for it is "bacterial SSU rRNA". It matches the Rfam family "Bacterial small subunit ribosomal RNA", at positions 361 to 776 of the family's 1533-position model. The record is from RNAcentral.
AUAUUGGGCAAUGGGGGAAACCCUGACCCAGCAACGCCGCGUGAGGGAAGAAGGCUUUCGGGUUGUAAACCUCUGUCCUUGGGGACGANNUAAGUGACGGUACCCAAGGAGGAAGCUCCGGCUAACUACGUGCCAGCAGCCGCGGUAAUACGUAGGGAGCAAGCGUUGUCCGGAAUUACUGGGCGUAAAGGGUGCGUAGGUGGCCUGGUAAGUCAGAUGUGAAAUACCCGUGCUUAACAUGGGGGGUGCAUCUGAUACUGUCAGGCUUGAGUGCAGGAGAGGAAAGCGGAAUUCCUAGUGUAGCGGUGAAAUGCAUAGAUAUUAGGAGGAACACCAGUGGCGAAGGCGGCUUUCUGGACUGUAACUGACGCUGAGGCACGAAAGCGUGGGGAGCAAACAGG